RNAcentral lists this ribosomal RNA (493 nucleotides) under uncultured bacterium. RNAcentral's name for it is "bacterial SSU rRNA". It matches the Rfam family "Bacterial small subunit ribosomal RNA", at positions 28 to 533 of the family's 1533-position model. The record is from RNAcentral.
GACGAACGCUGGCGGCGUGCUUAAAAACAUGCAAGUCGAACGGACUUCUCAUGAAGCUUGCGAUUGAGAAGUUAGUGGCGGACGGGUGAGUAACGCGUGGGCAACCUGCCCCUGAGCCCGGGAUAACAGUUCGAAAGGACUGCUAAGACCGGAUAUACUUGCGGGGAAGCAUUUCACUGCAAGGAAAGGGAACGCUCAGGGAUGGGCCCGCGUCCCAUUAGCUAGUUGGUGAGGUAACGGCCCACCAAGGCGACGAUGGGUAGCCGGCCUGAGAGGGUGAACGGCCACACUGGGACUGAGACACGGCCCAGACUCCUACGGGAGGCAGCAGUUGGGAAUCUUCGGCAAUGGGCGCAAGCCCUGACCGAGCAACGCCGCGUGAGUGAUGAAGUUUUCGGAUUGUAAAGCUCUGUCUUCCGGGACGAUAAUGACGGUACCGGAGGAGGAAGCCACGGCUAACUACGUGCCAGCAGCCGCGGUAAGAGUGUGUGUA